RNAcentral lists this ribosomal RNA (321 nucleotides) under uncultured bacterium. RNAcentral's name for it is "bacterial SSU rRNA". It matches the Rfam family "Bacterial small subunit ribosomal RNA", at positions 30 to 333 of the family's 1533-position model. The record is from RNAcentral.
AGUGAACGCUGGCGGCAGGCCUAACACAUGCAAGUCGAGCGGCAGCGGGUUCCCGCGAGGGGAUGCCGGCGAGCGGCGGACGGGUGAGGAACACAUCGGAAUCUGCCUGGUUGUGGGGGAUAACGUAGGGAAACUUACGCUAAUACCGCAUGCGACCCUGAGUCGACGGACUGGGGGUGAAAGUGAGGGACCUUCGGGCCUCACGCGACCAGAUGAGCCGAUGUCGGAUUAGCUAGUUGGCGGGGUAACGGCCCGCCAAGGCGACGAUCCGUAGCUGGUCUGAGAGGAUGAUCAGCCACACUGGGACUGAGACACGGCCCA